CCUACGGGAGGCAGCAGUAGGGAAUUUUUCACAAUGGGCGAAAGCCUGAUGGAGCAACGCCGCGUGCAGGAUGAAGGCCUUCGGGUUGUAAACUGCUUUUAUAAGCGAGAAAUAUGAUGGUAACUUAUGAAUAAGGAUCGGCUAACUACGUGCCAGCAGCCGCGGUCAUACGUAGGAUCCGAGCAUUAUCCGGAGUGACUGGGUGUAAAGAGUUGCGUAGGUGGCAUAAUAAGUAGCUAGUGAAAUCUGGUGGCUCAACCAUUCAGACUAUUAGCUAAACUGUUAAGCUCGAGACCGUUAGGGGUAACUGGAAGUUCUAGUGUAGGAGUGAAAUCCGUAGAUAUUAGAAGGAACACCAAUAGCGUAGGCAGGUUGCUGGGACGGUUCUGACACUAAGGCACGAAAGCGUAGGGAGCAAACGGGAUUAGAUACCCUUGUAGUC
Molecule: ribosomal RNA, 442 nt
Filed under: uncultured bacterium
Lineage: Bacteria
Description: partial 16S ribosomal RNA
Rfam family: Bacterial small subunit ribosomal RNA
Source: RNAcentral